UCCGGUUUAACACCGGCAGUCUCCCGUGAGUCCCCACCACCCCCGAAAGGGCGUGCUGGCAACACAGGAUAAGGGUUGCGCUCGUUGCGGGACUUAACCCAACAUCUCACGACACGAGCUGACGACAGCCAUGCACCACCUGUACACCGACUCAAAGAGAGACCCUGUCUCCAGGGUUUUCCGGCGUAUGUCAAGCCUUGGUAAGGUUCUUCGCGUUGCGUCGAAUUAAGCCACAUGCUCCGCCGCUUGUGCGGGCCCCCGUCAAUUCCUUUGAGUUUCAUUCUUGCGAACGUACUCCCCAGGUGGCAUGCUUACUGCGUUAACUGCGUCACUGCCCCCGAAGGGGCAACAACUAGCAUGCAUCGUUUACAGCGUGGACUAC
This 382-nucleotide unclassified non-coding RNA is filed under the name uncultured Actinomycetes bacterium. Its description in RNAcentral is "uncultured actinobacterium contains 16S-23S intergenic spacer region". Lineage: Bacteria; Bacillati; Actinomycetota; Actinomycetes. The record is from RNAcentral.